UGGGGAAUAUUGCACAAUGGGGGAAACCCUGAUGCAGCGACGCCGCGUGAGUGAAGAAGUAUUUCGGUAUGUAAAACUCUAUCAGCAGGGAAGAUAAUGACGGUACCUGACUAAGAAGCCCUGGCUAACUACGUGCC
Molecule: ribosomal RNA, 137 nt
Filed under: uncultured bacterium
Lineage: Bacteria
Description: partial 16S ribosomal RNA
Rfam family: Bacterial small subunit ribosomal RNA
Source: RNAcentral